CCUACGGGGGGCAGCAGUGAGGAAUAUUGGUCAAUGGCCGUAAGGCUGAACCAGCCAAGUCGCGUGAAGGAAGAAGGAUCUAUGGUUUGUAAACUUCUUUUAUAGGGGAAUAAAGGUAUCCACGUGUGGAUAUUUGCAUGUACCCUAUGAAUAAGCAUCGGCUAACUCCGUGCCAGCAGCCGCGGUAAUACGGAGGUUGCGAGCGUUCUCUGGAUUUAUUGGGUUUAAAGGGUGCGUAGGUUGUUUUGUAAGUCAGCUGUGAAAGGUUGUGGAUCAACCAUAAAAUUGCCGGUGAAACUGGAAGAAUUGAGUGUGUGUGAGGUAGGCGGAAUGCGUGGUGUAGCGGUGAAAUGCAUAGAUAUCACGCAGAACUCCUAUUGCGAAGGCAGCUUACUAAGCCAUAACUGACACUGAAGCACGAAAGCGUGGGGAUCAAACAGGAUUAGAUACCCGGGUAGUC
RNAcentral lists this ribosomal RNA (460 nucleotides) under uncultured bacterium. RNAcentral describes it as "partial 16S ribosomal RNA". It matches the Rfam family "Bacterial small subunit ribosomal RNA", at positions 338 to 795 of the family's 1533-position model. The record is from RNAcentral.